UUGUGGUUUUAUUUUAUGAUGUGAUGUUUAACAAUCUUUUUAGUAAUAGCUAGUAAUAGUACUAUUGCCUGCUAUUCUAUUGCUACUGGGCUUGUAUUUUAAACAGCAGCAGCAGCAGGAGCGAGCGUCUUAGCCCUUCGCACCCCCGUGCCUAUUUGCCAUUUUGGCUUCAGAAAACGUCUCCCCUUUUUUACGACGUUGCCGGAUGGUUGAAAGAGAGUGGUAAUUGGAGGCAUACAUGAAGGAAUUGAAGAUAAACUUCUUAAGAUAAUAGUUUACCGGAUAUUUGAAGACUGAAGUCAAGGGACCUUAGUAGUUAGUAUUUAUAUUAUUGUGACAGACCCACAUGUACAAAGUUUUAUCAAUAACGUCUUUAAAAGAACGACUUAAAAUAUUUUUACUGUUCUUUUUUAUGUUAAUUGCUACGGGGUUGAACGUACAGUGAAGAGUAGGUUAAAGUUCACUGUUUUUCAUGGGUUUUUAGUUACCUAAUUGUAAUUUAGAUUUGUAAAGAACUAUAAUAUUUAAAAUUAAUAAUCAAAAAUAAUGAAAAAUAGUAAAAUAUUCUUGAAAUAGUUAAUUCCAUUUAUGCAUAAUUUAUUUUAUAUAUUAUUUCGGAUCACAAUAAGAUGA
Molecule: long non-coding RNA, 633 nt
Organism: Sitophilus oryzae (rice weevil)
Lineage: Eukaryota; Metazoa; Arthropoda; Insecta; Coleoptera; Curculionidae
Exons: 3
Source: RefSeq, a predicted model, not a curated record